GUGGAACAAUCACUUCGCUGAGACGCUGGAAGCAAGGGUGGAGAGUUCGAUUCCUGGAGUUAACACUGGGAGCCAUAUGGAGAGGAAGUCAUUGGUGUGAACAAACGCCCAGUGAGGAGAGCUCUCUUUGCGGAAGGAGUCCAAAUGAGUUGUGGGAACCUGGGAGCCAACAAGGGCACAUCCUGCGAUUUACCUCCCUGAGCUGCUGAGGGGCCGGAGGUUCAGGGACAAGGAUCUAGUCGGACGCAAGCCCGGACACCUUG
RNAcentral lists this long non-coding RNA (263 nucleotides) under Olea europaea (common olive). RNAcentral describes it as "long non-coding RNA (OEUR_LNC011904)". The record is from RNAcentral. Lineage: Eukaryota; Viridiplantae; Streptophyta; Magnoliopsida; Lamiales; Oleaceae.